UACGUAGGGUGCGAGCGUUAAUCGGAAUUACUGGGCGUAAAGCGUGCGCAGGCGGUUCGUUAAGUCAGAUGUGAAAGCCCGAGGCUCAACCUCGGAACUGUCUUCGAUACUGCGGGUCUCGAGUCCGGGAGAGGCGAGUGGAAUUCCUGGUGUAGCGGUGAAAUGCGCAGAUAUCAGGAGGAACACCAAUGGCGAAGGCAGCUCGCUGGAACGGUACUGACGCUGAGGCGCGAAAGCGUGGGGAGCGAACAGG
This 253-nucleotide ribosomal RNA is filed under the name uncultured bacterium. RNAcentral's name for it is "partial 16S ribosomal RNA". It matches the Rfam family "Bacterial small subunit ribosomal RNA", at positions 524 to 776 of the family's 1533-position model. The record is from RNAcentral.